CAUUACCUAGAGUUGUAGGCUUUGCCUGCUAUCUCUUACCCAUGUCUUUUGAGUACCUUCGUUUCCUCGGCGGGUUCGCCCGCCGAUUGGACAAUUUAAACCAUUUGCAGUUGCAAUCAGCGUCUGAAAAAACAUAAUAGUUACAACUUUCAACAACGGAUCUCUUGGUUCUGGCAUCGAUGAAGAACGCAGCGAAAUGCGAUAAGUAGUGUGAAUUGCAGAAUUCAGUGAAUCAUCGAAUCUUUGAACGCACAUUGCGCCCCUUGGUAUUCCAUGGGGCAUGCCUGUUCGAGCGUCAUUUGUACCUUCAAGCUCUGCUUGGUGUUGGGUGUUUGUCUCGCCUCUGCGUGUAGACUCGCCUCAAAACAAUUGGCAGCCGGCGUAUUGAUUUCGGAGCGCAGUACAUCUCGCGCUUUGCACUCAGAACGACGACGUCCAAAAGUACAUUUUUACACUCUUGACCUCGGAUCAGGUAGGGAUACCCGCUGAACUUAAGCAUAUCAAUAA
Molecule: ribosomal RNA, 507 nt
Filed under: Epicoccum nigrum
Lineage: Eukaryota; Fungi; Ascomycota; Dothideomycetes; Pleosporales; Didymellaceae
Description: eukaryotic LSU rRNA
Rfam family: 5.8S ribosomal RNA (bases 145-298)
Source: RNAcentral